ACUGUAAAGCAAUGGGUGGUUUUUAUGUGAGAAUUGAGAUUUUUAAGACAAAGUUUACUGCUUUCUUAUGAUUAAUGAAUUCAUCUGAUGUAAAUCCUGUUAAUUAAUUUGUGCAAAAUUUGAUAAUUUUGAACACAUUGUAUUGAGUUUGUUGAAUUAAGUUAGAGAGUUCAUAAGAGAAUAUUCAUAGCAGUUCUGAAUCAGAUCUUGUACUUCAUAACAACAUCAUUGCAGGAAUUUGGUUUUGUUGUGUAAUUUUUUAGUUUCUGAUUCACUUACUUUUGGGUUCUAAUGAAGCUUCCCUGUAAAAUUUUUACCAAAACUAACGAUUCAGCUGCUCGUGAGCUUUAUUUCUGAUGUAAUUUGCAGGAAUUUUGAAUUCUGAACAAAGUUAUAGUUUCUGAUUGCAGGAAUUUUGAAUUCAUAACACAAUCAUUGCAGGAAUUUGGUGUUGUUGUGUGAUUUUUUUUAGUUUCUGUUUCACUUACUUUUGGGUUCUAAUGAAGCUUCCCUGUAAAAUUUUUACCAAAAGUAAAAAAUUCAGCUGCUCAUGAGCUUUAAUUCUGAUGUAAUUUGCAGG
This 580-nucleotide long non-coding RNA is filed under the name Ananas comosus (pineapple). RNAcentral describes it as "long non-coding RNA (ACOM_LNC022570)". The record is from RNAcentral. Lineage: Eukaryota; Viridiplantae; Streptophyta; Magnoliopsida; Poales; Bromeliaceae.